This 1048-nucleotide long non-coding RNA is filed under the name Homo sapiens (human). RNAcentral's name for it is "HSALNT0400120". The record is from RNAcentral. Lineage: Eukaryota; Metazoa; Chordata; Mammalia; Primates; Hominidae.
CUAGUGAACCCCUUCCUCAGCUCUGGGACUGAUUGUCUUCAAGCUGAGCACACACUGAGCACUGGGCCUGCCUUCUUCCUAACACAGGUUUUUGUAAGCUCCAGACAUUGGAUAAAGCAUUUUGAGGGAUAGGUGAAAACGAAAUCCUGCCCUUUACUCUUGAGAACUCACUCUGCUGUGGGAGGAGAGACAGGCAGGUAUAUCAAAGGGAAAAAUAGUAACAGUUCUGGUGGAGAGACCUGGUGAGCAACACCUUAAACCAAGUGAUGAAAGCUGAAAUCAGCAACACUGGGAUGAACCUGCAUCACGUAAUAGCGGAUGUGAUGCCCUGACAAGAGCACCAGUCCUGUUUGCAGCAUCACUGCCCCAGAUGCAUGCCUGAAUCUGUUCCUUAGGAUACAUCAGGAAACCCAAGCUGAGGAAUGUUCUACUAAAUAAAUGAUCUCUACUCUUCAAAAACAUGCGGGUCAAGUGACAGGUGCCGAGGAGAGGGAGAGGGUCUAGGAAGACCCUAGUUGGGACAAUUGGCAGCAUUCAAAUGUGGCCUGUGCAUUUCAUACUGGUACUGUUCAAUGUGAAAUUUCUUGAUUUUUGUAAGAUUCUCCCUGGGGCCUGAUAGCUUAAAGGGAUGAGUAACUCCUCCCUUCUCAGGCCCAGUCCCAAGGUGCAAGACCACUUGCAUCAGCAGCCUGUGCCAGCAAGAUAGCAGAAGCAGGAAGAGAGCCGGCCAGAAGACACGUACCCCUGAAGAUUGAGAAACAGGCCAUCCGGGUACAACGUAGCAAUUACGUCAGACUAGGACACUUCCUGUUUAAAGGAGACUAUAAAACCUUUGUCCUGUCCUCACUUGGGGCUGACGCCAUUUUAGGCCUCAGCCCGCCUGCACCCAGGCGCUCAUUAAAACAGCAUGUUGCUCCACAUCGCCUCGUGUUGUCUGUUGGCACGCUCUCGGGAUUCGAACCGAUACAAGAACCUUACAAUUUUCUUUAUGUAAGAGAAUGUCCUUGUUCUUAAGAAAAGCCAGCUGAAAUAUUUAGAGAGUAAGUUU